CGACCGGCGCACGGGUGAGUAACGCGUAUCCAACCUGCCCACCACUUGGGGAUAACCUUGCGAAAGUAAGACUAAUACCCAAUGAUAUCUCUAGAAGACAUCUGAAAGAGAUUAAAGAUUUAUCGGUGAUGGAUGGGGAUGCGUCUGAUUAGCUUGUUGGCGGGGUAACGGCCCACCAAGGCAACGAUCAGUAGGGGUUCUGAGAGGAAGGUCCCCCACAUUGGAACUGAGGCACGGUCCAA
RNAcentral lists this ribosomal RNA (242 nucleotides) under uncultured bacterium. RNAcentral's name for it is "partial 16S ribosomal RNA". It matches the Rfam family "Bacterial small subunit ribosomal RNA", at positions 92 to 334 of the family's 1533-position model. The record is from RNAcentral.